AAAGUCGUAACAAGGUUUCCGUAGGUGAACCUGCGGAAGGAUCAUUGCAAAAGAUUGUGGGGUUGUAGUGGAUGUGAGUAAUUAUAUCUACUUGGCUCUAAAGCACAGGGAAUCCAAUUUGGAUUUCUCUGAUGUUUGCGCUUGUAUUGUUUGACAUGUGUAAUCAUUACUUUAAUAAAACUUUCAACAAUGGAUCUCUUGGCUCUU
Molecule: unclassified non-coding RNA, 207 nt
Filed under: Basidiomycota sp.
Lineage: Eukaryota; Fungi; Basidiomycota
Description: partial contains small subunit ribosomal RNA, internal transcribed spacer 1, and 5.8S ribosomal RNA
Rfam family: Eukaryotic small subunit ribosomal RNA (bases 1-47)
Source: RNAcentral